UGGCGGACGGGUGAGUAACGCGUGGGUAACCUGCCUCAUACAGGGGGAUAACAGUUAGAAAUGACUGCUAAUACCGCAUAAGACCACAGUACCGCAUGGUACAGGGGUAAAAACUCCGGUGGUAUGAGAUGGACCCGCGUCUGAUUAGCUAGUUGGUGAGGUAACGGCCCACCAAGGCAACGAUCGGUAGCCGGACUGAGAGGUUGAACGGCCACAUUGGGACUGAGACACGGCCCAG
This 238-nucleotide ribosomal RNA is filed under the name uncultured bacterium. RNAcentral describes it as "partial 16S ribosomal RNA". It matches the Rfam family "Bacterial small subunit ribosomal RNA", at positions 96 to 334 of the family's 1533-position model. The record is from RNAcentral.